This 278-nucleotide unclassified non-coding RNA is filed under the name Hevea brasiliensis (rubber tree). The record is from RNAcentral. Lineage: Eukaryota; Viridiplantae; Streptophyta; Magnoliopsida; Malpighiales; Euphorbiaceae.
GUUUAAUUUAUUUUCAAGUGAGGUUGAGCUUUUUGCGUUUGUUCUCGGAGAAAUGAGGCUUCUGGUUCGGGUAAUAGAGGCAAGAAAUUUGCCAGCAAUGGAUCUAAAUGGGUCAAGUGAUCCCUAUGUGAGAGUGCAGCUGGGAAAGCAGAAGUUCAAGACCAAAGUGGUAAAGAAGAACUUGAAUCCGAAUUGGGGAGAGGAAUUCAGUUUUAAGGUUGAGGACUUGAACGAGGAGCUUGUAUUCUCUGUGUUAGAUGAGGACAAGUACUUCAAUG